UCCUGGCUCAGGAUGAACGCUAGCUACAGGCUUAACACAUGCAAGUCGAGGGGCAGCAUGAUCAAGCUUGCUUGAUGAUGGCGACCGGCGCACGGGUGAGUAACGCGUAUCCAACCUUCCCCUUAGUAGGGCAUAGCCCGUAGAAAUGCGGAUUAAUACCCUAUGUUGUUCGAUGCGGACAUCUAAGUUGAACCAAAGGUUUACCGCUAAGGGAUGGGGAUGCGUCUGAUUAGGCAGCAGGCGGGGUAACGGCCCACCUGGCCGACGAUCGGUAGGGGUUCUGAGAGGAAGGUCCCCCACAUUGGAACUGAGACACGGUCCAAACUCCUACGGGAGGCAGCAGUGAGGAAUAUUGGUCAAUGGGCGAGAGCCUGAACCAGCCAAGUAGCGUGCAGGACGACGGCCCUAUGGGUUGUAAACUGCUUUUAUGCGGGGAUAAAGUGCGGCACGUGUGCCGUUUUGUAGGUACCGCAUGAAUAAGGACCGGCUAAUUCCGUGCCAGCCGCAGC
Molecule: ribosomal RNA, 509 nt
Filed under: uncultured bacterium
Lineage: Bacteria
Description: bacterial SSU rRNA
Rfam family: Bacterial small subunit ribosomal RNA
Source: RNAcentral